GCGACUGUGGAAUGGUAGGACACGAGCCCCCCAAGCUCGUGACCCGGGUUCGAAUCCCGGCAGUCGCA
Molecule: transfer RNA, 68 nt
Filed under: Candidatus Aenigmatarchaeota archaeon
Lineage: Archaea; Nanobdellati; Candidatus Aenigmatarchaeota
Description: tRNA-Gly
Rfam family: tRNA
About the family: Transfer RNA (tRNA) molecules are approximately 80 nucleotides in length.
Source: RNAcentral